GCAUAACGCGAAGAACCUUACCAAGGCUUGACAUACACCAGAACACCCUAGAAAUAGGGGACUCUUUGGACACUGGUGAACAGGUGGUGCAUGGUUGUCGUCAGCUCGUGUCGUGAGAUGUUGGGUUAAGUCCCGCAACGAGCGCAACCCUCGUUCUAUGUUGCCAGCACGUAAUGGUGGGAACUCAUGGGAUACUGCCGGGGUCAACUCGGAGGAAGGUGGGGAUGACGUCAAAUCAUCAUGCCCCUUAUGUCUUGGGCUUCACGCAUGCUACAAUGGCCGGUACAAAGGGCUGCAAAACCGCGAAGUUUAGCUAAUCCCAAAAAGCCACUCUCAGUUCGGAUUGCAGGCUGCAACUCGCCUGCAUGAAGUCGGAAUCGCUAGUAAUCGCAGAUCAGCAUGCUGCGGUGAAUACGUUCCCGGGUCUUGUACACACCG
RNAcentral lists this ribosomal RNA (438 nucleotides) under uncultured bacterium. Its description in RNAcentral is "bacterial SSU rRNA". It matches the Rfam family "Bacterial small subunit ribosomal RNA", at positions 954 to 1392 of the family's 1533-position model. The record is from RNAcentral.